UUAAGCUAGUAAGAGCGUAGGGUGAAUGCCUAGGCACCAAAAGCCGAAGAAAGACGUGAUAAGCUGCGAAAAGCUAUGGGGAGGAGCAAAUAUCCAGAGAUCCAUAGAUAUCUGAAUGGGGAAACCCAUCAAAUGGUAAAGCAUUUGAUAUCCAUACAUGAAUACAUAGUGUAUGAGAAGGGAGACGGAGUGAACUGAAACAUCUAAGUAACUCCAGGAAAAGAAAAAGACAUUGAUUCCGAAAGUAGUGGCGAGCGAAAUCGGAGAAGCCCAAACCAGAGGUAGAAAUACCACUGGGGUUGAGGACUACAACAAGUUACUAAAAGUCAUAGUAGAAUUGUUUUGGAAAAGCAAACCAAAGGGAGUGAAAGUCUCGUAUACGAAAUGGCUUGAAGGACGAGUAGAAUCCAGAGUACGGCAGGGCACGUGAAAUCCUGUCGGAAGCAGGCCGGACCACCGGCCAAGGCUAAAUACUAAUUGGUGACCGAUAGUGAAGCAGUACCGUGAGGGAAAGUUGAAAAGAACCCCGGGAGGGGAGUGAAAUAGAACCUGAAACCCUAUGUUUACAAGCAGACAAAGCACGUUAAGGUGCGAUGUCGUACUUUUUGUAGAACGGUCCGGCGAGUUACGUGUAUGAUGCGAGGUUAAAUACUGUGUAAGGUAUGAAGCCGAAGGGAAACCGAGUGUGAAUAGCGCGAAGAUAUAGUAUCAUGCAGUAGACCCGAAACCGAGUGACCUAUCCAUGAGCAGGUUGAAGCUUGAGUAAAAUCAAGUGGAGGACCGAACCGGUAUUCGUUGAAAAGGAUUCGGAUGACUUGUGGAUAGCGGAGAAAUUCCAAUCGAACUCGGAGAUAGCUGGUUCUCCUCGAAAUAGCUUUAGGGCUAGCCUUGUUUAGUAGCAUGUGGAGGUAAAGCACUGAAUAUGUGAGGGUUCUUACCAGAAUACCGAUCAUUAUCAAACUCUGAAUGCCAUGUGUGUAAGAACAGGAGUCAGACAGUGACAGCUAAGUGCCAUUGUCAAAAGGGAAAGAGCCCAGACCAACAGCUAAGGUCCCAAAAUUGUAGUUAAGUGGAAAAGGAUGUGGGAAUUCAUAGACAACCAGGAUGUUGGCUCAGAAGCAGCCAUUCAUUUAAAGAGUGCGUAAAAGCUCACUGGUCGAAGUAGGCCUGCGCCGAAAAUUACCGGGGCUAAACUACAUACCGAAGCUUUGGAUUUGGUACGUAAAGUAUUAAGUGGUAGAGGAGCGUUGUAUAAAGAUUGAAGCUAUACUGAAAAGAGUAGUGGACGAUAUACAAGAGAGAAUGCCGGAAUAAGUAGCGAGAGCACAGUGAGAAUCUGUGCCGCCGAAAACCUAAGGUUUCCUGGGGAAGGUUCGUCCGCCCAGGGUAAGUCGGGACCUAAGACGAGGCUAAAGCAGCGUAGUCGAUGGAAAGCAGGUAAAAGAUUCCUGCACUACCGAAAUGCGAUAUACAAUAUAUCAUGACGCAUCAGAAGAGUCUAAGCGAGCAAAUGGAAAAGUUCGUACCGCAAGGUGGAGUGAAAAAUAGUAACGAAGUAGAUAAAUCAGGUGACAAGAAAAGUGAUAUAGGAGCAUAGAGGUACUCGUACCGUAAACCGACACAGGUAGGAAGAAAGAGAAUUUUCAGGCGAACGAGAGAAUCAUUGUUAAGGAACUCGGCAAAUUAACCCCGUAACUUAGGGAUAAGGGGAGCCAAUAGCGAUAUUGGUCGCAGAGAAAUGGCCCAAGCAACUGUUUAGCAAAAACACAGGUUUCUGCCAAAUCGAAAGAUGAAGUAUAGGAGCUGACGCCUGCCCAGUGCUGGAAGGUCAAGGGGAAGAGUAAACGUUUCGAUGUGAAGCUCUGAACUUAAGCCCCAGUGAACGGCGGCCGUAACUAUAACGGUCCUAAGGUAGCGAAAUUCCUUGUCAGGUAAGUUCUGACCCGCACGAAAGGCGUAAUGAUUUG
RNAcentral lists this ribosomal RNA (1967 nucleotides) under human gut metagenome. RNAcentral's name for it is "bacterial LSU rRNA". It matches the Rfam family "Bacterial large subunit ribosomal RNA", at positions 3 to 2011 of the family's 2925-position model. The record is from RNAcentral.